UGUUUCGACUAAAUAACUACAUUCACAUUCGAGGACGAAUGUCCUUAAGGGGGGAAGGAUGUAACACCCCGUACUUAAUUACGUGCAUUAGCCAUGGUUAUAUGUGUUGGAGUAUAUGUAUUGAUCAUAAGUUAGGUAUAUAUGAGUUUAAGUAUGAGUAUUGAUUAUUUUGAGAUGGUUUCAAGUGUAUAGUUUGAUUAUAUGUGUAUAGGAAUCGACUUUAUUUAUACCGGAAUUUGCUCGUCGAAGUUUCUAUGCGAAGUUUAUCGAGUUAGCUUUCCAACGAUAUAAAGAUUUUUGAAAACAGCUGAGUAUCGGAUAUAAGCGAGCAUGUUCGAAACUUGAAAAUGGUGGACGCAAUGAACAGUAAAUGUGCAGAAAUUUUCUGCACACAAAAGUAUUGCAGCCAAACAGAUUUUUGGGUCGACUUUAAAC
RNAcentral lists this long non-coding RNA (435 nucleotides) under Capsicum annuum. RNAcentral's name for it is "long non-coding RNA (CANN_LNC003191)". The record is from RNAcentral. Lineage: Eukaryota; Viridiplantae; Streptophyta; Magnoliopsida; Solanales; Solanaceae.